Gorilla gorilla gorilla (western lowland gorilla) is the source of this 531-nucleotide long non-coding RNA. RefSeq lists it as uncharacterized. The record is from RefSeq and is a predicted model, not a curated record. The transcript is spliced from 3 exons. NCBI's taxonomy places the organism in Eukaryota, Metazoa, Chordata, Mammalia, Primates, Hominidae.
UCUCCCUUUGCUGACUCUCUUUUUGGAUUUAGCCAGCCUGCACCCAGGUGAUUGAAAGCCUUAUUGCUCACACAAAGCCUGGUUGGUGGUCUCUUCACAUGGAUGCUCAUGAAAUUUGGUGCCGAAACCGGGGAUUGGGUGACCUCCCUUAGGAGAUCAAUCCGUUGUCCUUCCUCCUACUCUUUGCUGCAUGAGAAGGAUCCACCUACGACCUCUGGUCCUCAGACCCACCAGCCCAAGGAAUAUCUCACCAAUUUCAAAUCCGAUCUUCUCCGCUUAGCAGCUGAAGACUGACACUGCCCAAUCACCUCGGAAGCCUACAGGACCAUCACAGAUGCUCUGCGUAACUCUCACAGUGGGAGUCCUGAGGAAGAUUGACAUUUGCCACCUGCAUAAAGAACCCUACUUGGUGAAAACCCAAGUUUUGUUGGAGUCUGUUCCUGUGAGAAAUGAGGAAAAAACAGUACAUGUGUGCACGGUAGAUCUGGAAGGGAAAGCAGAAAGUAUCCAACACUUCUUGCAUGAAGAAAA